UUGGAACUGAGACACGGUCCAAACUCCUACGGGAGGCAGCAGUGAGGAAUAUUGGUCAAUGGGCGAGAGCCUGAACCAGCCAAGUAGCGUGCAGGAUGACGGCCCUAUGGGUUGUAAACUGCUUUUAUGCGGGGAUAAAGUGCGCGACGUGUCGUGCAUUGCAGGUACCGCAUGAAUAAGGACCGGCUAAUUCCGUGCCAGCAGCCGCGGUAAUACGGAAGGUCCGGGCGUUAUCCGGAUUUAUUGGGUUUAAAGGGAGCGUAGGCCGCCAGGUAAGCGUGUUGUGAAAUGUACCGGCUCAACCGGUGAAUUGCAGCGCGAACUGUCUGGCUUGAGUGCACGGUAAGCAGGCGGAAUUCAUGGUGUAGCGGUGAAAUGCUUAGAUAUCAUGAAGAACUCCGAUUGCGAAGGCAGCUUGCUGC
RNAcentral lists this ribosomal RNA (422 nucleotides) under uncultured bacterium. RNAcentral's name for it is "bacterial SSU rRNA". It matches the Rfam family "Bacterial small subunit ribosomal RNA", at positions 313 to 732 of the family's 1533-position model. The record is from RNAcentral.